This 492-nucleotide ribosomal RNA is filed under the name uncultured bacterium. RNAcentral's name for it is "partial 16S ribosomal RNA". It matches the Rfam family "Bacterial small subunit ribosomal RNA", at positions 29 to 507 of the family's 1533-position model. The record is from RNAcentral.
AGUGAACGCUGGCGGUAGGCCUAACACAUGCAAGUCGAACGGCAGCACAGUAAGAGCUUGCUCUUACGGGUGGCGAGUGGCGGACGGGUGAGGAAUACAUCGGAAUCUACUUUUUCGUGGGGGAUAACGUAGGGAAACUUACGCUAAUACCGCAUACGACCUACGGGUGAAAGCAUGGGAUCUUCGGACCUUGCGCGAUUGAAUGAGCCGAUGUCGGAUUAGCUAGUUGGCGGGGUAAAGGCCCACCAAGGCGACGAUCCGUAGCUGGUCUGAGAGGAUGAUCAGCCACACUGGAACUGAGACACGGUCCAGACUCCUACGGGAGGCAGCAGUGGGGAAUAUUGGACAAUGGGCGAAAGCCUGAUCCAGCAAUACCGCGUGGGUGAAGAAGGCCUUCGGGUUGUAAAGCACUUUUGUUGGGAAAGAAAAGCAGCAGGUUAAUACCACGCUGUGAUGACGGUACCCAAAGAAUAAGCACCGGCUAACUUCGUG